This 650-nucleotide long non-coding RNA is filed under the name Chloebia gouldiae (Gouldian finch). RNAcentral's name for it is "Erythrura gouldiae (Gouldian finch) lncRNA (ENSEGOG00005009431.1)". The record is from RNAcentral. Lineage: Eukaryota; Metazoa; Chordata; Aves; Passeriformes; Passeridae.
CCGGCUGUCCCUAAGAACACGAGGGGAGGGCGGACAACGCUGCUUGUGCGCCUGAAAAUCCCAGCGUUGUUGCAGGGCAGCCCCAGCGGGACGAGAGGGCCCCGGGCUGCCGAGGGCUGGGAGCUGCUCCGCGCUGCCUGCGCUCCCUCUGCCGGCACCAGAGCUCCGGGAGCAGCCUCUGGGAACAUCCCCUGGCACCGCCCUCGCCUCCCGAGCAGCGCCCGCGGCUCCGCAGCGGGCAGAGUUUAUCCUACAAAGGCUUUUCCACUGCCCCACAGAAACAACCAGCGCAGCGCGACUGUGUGGAGCGAACGGGGCAGGAAUAAUUUACUCAAAACGACGUUGGAUAAAGCAGCUGGAUCCCUGCUGUUUGGAGACGGACCCCUGCGUGUCCCAGCCAAGAGCGGACCAGAGGAGAAGGAGCAGAACAGCGUCUCUGAACACGACAAGCGGGAUGGAAAGAAACCCAGCACUGCAUGAGGCACCCCAACAGCUCUGGCAGCAAAGCCAGCCCUCCACAGGGCAGCUGGUGCAGUGUGCAGUGACAACCGCAUGACAGAGACAGCGGAGGCAACACAGUCUCAUAAAGAGCCGGGACGCUGCGGCCGGGCCGGCGGCGCAGGGGAGCGCGGAGGCGGCGGCGAGCAGGC